GAUGAACGCUGGCGGCGCGCCUAACACAUGCAAGUCGAACGAGUAAGACGCCUUCGGGCGUGGAUAGAGUGGCGAACGGGUGAGUAACACGUGACCAACCUGCCCCCUCCUCCGGGACAACCUCGGGAAACCGAGGCUAAUACCGGAUACUCCGGGCCCCCCGCAUGGGGAGCCCGGGAAAGCCCUGGCGGGAGGGGAUGGGGUCGCGGCCCAUCAGGUAGACGGCGGGGUAACGGCCCACCGUGCCUGCAACGGGUAGCCGGGCUGAGAGGCCGAUCGGCCACAUUGGGACUGAGACACGGCCCAGACUCCUACGGGAGGCAGCAGUGGGGAAUUUUGCGCAAUGGGGGCAACCCUGACGCAGCGACGCCGCGUGCGGGACGAAGUCAUUCGUGACGUAAACCGCUUUCAGCGAGGAAGAACCAUGACGGUACUCGCAGAAGAAGCCCCGGCUAACUACGUGCCAGCAGCCGCGGUAAUACGUAGGGGGCGAGCGUUAUCCGGAAUCAUUGGGCGUAAAGCGCGCGCAGGCGGGCUUUCAAGCGGCGGCGUCGAAGCCGGGGGCUCAACCCCCGGAAGCGCCCCGAACUGGAAGCCUCGGAUGCGGCAGGGGGAGGCGGAAUUCCCGGUGUAGCGGUGAAAUGCGCAGAUAUCGGGAAGAACACCGACGGCGAAGGCAGCCUCCUGGGCCGGCAUCGACGCUGAGGCGCGAAAGCUGGGGGAGCGAACAGGAUUAGAUACCCUGGUAGUCGCAGCCGUAAACGC
RNAcentral lists this ribosomal RNA (765 nucleotides) under uncultured bacterium. RNAcentral's name for it is "bacterial SSU rRNA". It matches the Rfam family "Bacterial small subunit ribosomal RNA", at positions 28 to 809 of the family's 1533-position model. The record is from RNAcentral.